UCAUGUUUCAGGUCCUCAUGUUCUAACCUUUCAGUGACUUCUCCUUAUGUAAUGAUAGUGGUAAUGAGUGAUUGUUUAUAUGAGAGAGAGUAAAUGAUCCUUGUUAAAGAAAAGACUAUAGCAUGCUUGUUGUAUCUAAGGCUAAGAUCGAGGUAUAAGCUUUUUGUAUAUGUCAUGGUUAGUUGAGAAUUCCAUGUGUGUCUUCAUAAGAGUAGUGCAAGAAAGUUGUUAUUGAUAGGGGUUUAGAGAAAAUUAGAAAGAUGUUUUUUUGGUUGUUUAGAAGUGCAUAUGUGGUUAUGAUGGUAGGCUUGAAGGUCAUAUUUGCAUAUAUGUGGAUGAAUGCACUGCACGUUAGUGAAUGUCUAGUAAGAGAUUGAAUAUAGUUGCUAAAGUGAUAAUAAGAAAUAUUCAUAAGAUGAGGAGUUGUGAAAAUACAGGGUGGGUCGAAUUCAUGAUUCAUGCUAGUAUUAAGUGUUAUGCGUGCACUUUGCAGAUUCGAGUAGGCUUGAACAUAGUGAGAGAAUUUAGUUCAACUCAGACUUCACUAGGUAGAGUUCUCAGUGCUUAUCUGAAUAUUUUCAGUAGACUCAAGUGAAGUGCAGUUUUGAAGUGGAAUGUAUAGUUGAGUAUAAGUUUUCAGUAUAAUUUAGUCCGUUUAGCCAGCAAUUCAGUUAGUAGUCAGAUAGACAAGUUCCUUGGUUUUCCAUAUUCCAAUAUAGUCGUACUAUUUGAGGUUUCAUGAAUAUAGCCAUUCCCAGAGGUAGUUCAUUCGUAUCCAUGUAAAUUGUGAAUCUAGUUCAGUCCAUGCAUUAUGUUUCAAAUUUUAGAUAUUUAGUCAUGAUUUAGUUCGUAAGUAUCUGGUGCAUCAUCUCAGUCUUUUCUUAGUAUUCAGCAAAGUCAAUAUCAUUCAGGGGACGAACAAUCCCAAGGGGGAGAUGUUGUAUACCCGAGUUUUCAUGUCCUAAAUCUCUCAACCUUUCUCCACAAAACAAGAUCCAACUUAAAGUAAUGGGUACACAUAAGUUGACUCUCUCGUUUCUAUCUCAGCCUUAUAACCAUUCUCAUGUCCAUAUAUGUAUUCAGGAAAUCAGUUCAUCCAUGUAUCAUGUUUUAGACUUAGUCAUGUAAUCAUGUUACCAGUCAUGCAGGUUCAAUAUAUAAUCUCAGUUAUCCCAGUAUUCUCAGCUAAUCAAUCUCAUUCAAGGAUGAAUAUUCCCAAGGGGGAAACCAUUGUAUAUAAAAGGGGCCCAAGAGUUAGAAAAUUUCACUAAAGACUUAGUCAUUUUGAAAACCCCUUAAACUUCGAUGAUUAUAUUUUCGACCUUCCCGGCCUUAGAAUGUCGAUUUUAAAGUUGAUUCAUGAUUGAGGAUGUCAAAAGUGCAUCUCGGGUGAGUUUCAGAAUUUUUGGACGAGCGUGAUGGCAUGUUUGGAUUUCCAAAAUAGCUCCACAGGGAUAAGCCCACAUUGCGUUCCCCAGUUUACUGGUAGGGGUGUGCAUGGCAGAGUCCGCGAUGCAUACUCCGGUCCUGCGAACCAGAUCCCCGCGAAGCAUCUUCCAUCGUGGCUCCCCUUAAAUUCUAGCUUUCAAUCACGUUUUUCAGGGGCAUUUGGGUCUUUUCCCUUCACCCAUUUGGUCCAUAAAAUGGGAUUAAGGGUCCCAAAAGGCAAAAUUAAUCAUUCUACUCAUAAUUCUCUCAAAAGAAAACAAUUGUCUCUCAAGAACAAACCCAAGCCUCUUCAAAAUUUAAGAUCAAACUUUAAGAAAUCACCAAGAACCUUCACGAAUUCUUCAAUUUAGGUAUGUGUGAUGUUCAUUCAUGGGUCCUUUUCACUCAUGGAGUCCAAGAAUCCGUUUUCAAGUUUAAAACCAUGAUUUUUUACACGUUAUUAUGAGUUACCUUCAUGAAGUUAUUAUGAAUCCUAAUUAUAAAUUAUGUUUACCAAGUGUUUUCAUUGGAAAAUGUCCUUGACACGUUUGAAUGAUGAUGUUCACAUGUUAAAUCAUAAAUUCAUGAUUUUAGUAUUUCAAUUAUGUUACAAUAACAUGUUUUAACCAUUCUCAUGCUUAAGCCUAUGAAUUUCAUAUGUUUGAUUAAAUGCCUAAAUGAUUUGGGUUUUGAACAAUGUCUACUUAUUGUGUUUUUGAAGCUUCAGUAUGUUCCUAUUGUUAUUGUUAUUGAGUCUCGGGGGUUAUGAAUACCCGAAAUUUAAUUGUUUACCUAGUUUUCAGUAUCUACGGAGUGAUUUAUGUUAUAUCAUGAGAAAUAUCAUUUAGUUAGUAAUGUGGUCAGUUGUUAGUCCAAUUAAGCUCAGUUGAGGCCAAUAAUCAGUGUCUUUCAGUUGGGAGUAAAACUUAGCACCGAGUGAACGUAGGGAUGGUGUCUCCCCCGUCAAUAGGCAUGAGGCACUUGUCUCCCCCAUUAGUAGAUAUGAGAUAUUAGUAGCAGUCCCUAGGUUCCAGAUCUACGGCGCCACCAUUGACUUUAAGGGGUCCCUCAUCAGCUAGGCAUGACACUCUCGUCCUUCGGCAUAUCAGAUUAGUGGAUCCACACUGCCAAUGUUAGUACCCGUGGCACGGUACUGACCCCCUUCCAACUGGGGUUACAGGUUGGACCUUGGUAGUACAUUGAGGCCUGUCGAUUAUAGCUAUCUCUGAUGAGUGGCAUAAAAUUGAGGAGACCAAAAGAUGUGGAUGGGAGUUGAAAAUGAUAAAAAAAGGGGCAAAUAAGAGUGCAGCUGAAGACUCAAAAGGGCCUCAGGUAGCGCGAUCGUGGUCUGUGCAUAGCAAUCGCUGUCAGCUAAUUUGAGGAUUUACCUAGCCUCAGGUAAUGCGGUCACGAUUAGAGAAAUGCGAUCGCAGUCGGUCAAGUUUGGCCAACAUAAUGCAAUCGAUCACUCAUAGUCGCGACCGUGUCAGUGCAAUCACAGCGAAAAAUCCAUGGUCGCGACAUAGCGGGAGGAAUGAGUAAAGGGCAUUGUGGUAAAAUUAGAUAGCUGAAGCAAGCCUUAUAAUGGGGAAUUCAAAAACACUUUAGGAUAUAGAGGGAAGAACCCUAGAAAGAGAGUGUGGAAAAUUAAUUUUGUUCAUUGUUUUGUAAUUAUUGUUCCAACGCGAAGUUAGUGAAUUUGAAUUGUGGAAUUGAAGAUUAUUUGACCCUCUCU
Long non-coding RNA from Capsicum annuum, 3163 nucleotides. RefSeq lists it as uncharacterized. The transcript has 2 exons. Lineage: Eukaryota; Viridiplantae; Streptophyta; Magnoliopsida; Solanales; Solanaceae. The record is from RefSeq and is a predicted model, not a curated record.